UGCUCGUUUAGUUGAGCUGUAUAUAUGUCUUUCUAAGUUUGUGUAGUUCAAUAUAUUUCAUUUAAUUGUUGAGAAAAUUAGCACCUUCCCUAUAUCUCCUUCCAUGUGCACUCUCUGUUGUGUUUUUGGUUUGCAGUGAGUAAAGGUGCAGCUUUGUUGUUCUUCCUUGCAUUGAAGCAUGUCGACUAAACCUUCUGCUCCUAUCAUGCCGCCCAAGGAUUUGUUUAGAAUGUGCUAAUAAAUAUAGGUCUAUGGUGUUCUCCGCUGUUGUAGCAGCAGUAGAUGAGGAGCCCUACGAUAUCCUAUAUGCCCAACCUAUGGUCUAAAUUUUAUCUACGUCUAUGUAUGCCACGAACUACUGACUGAAAUUAAAAUUUAUCUGCUUUUAUGCAUAGCCGAUAUUCUCUACAUAUGUUUUGAAUCGCUGGUGUUGUCUGUAUUUAUGCUGCAUUUGUUGCUGUCAUCUGUUUCAUUUUGUGGGUUAAGAAAAAAUGAAAGCAGAUCUAUUGAAGAUAUCUUUUUUAAGUACAUCGGCUUUCUAUGGUGUGCUUUCUGAGAGGCAUUUGUGUAGCAUGUCUGCAUUUACUUUGUUAUUUUCAACGCACAUGCUCACGACAUGGCUGCAACAGCCUGACAGUAUGUUCCUAAGAUUGUUGUUGCUGAAGAGAUGAUUGCAUGUGAAGAACUGCUACAGAUCAGAUGGCAACCUUUGAUCAGGUUUUCACCUUAUGAUCUCUUGGAGUGAUCUUACCAUUCUAUGGCAACCUUUGAUCAGUCAAUGGAGAUUGACCAUGAUGAUGGCUGCAUAUGAGUGAAGAAGACAAAUGCUCUGGAUGAUGCCAAUAUGUACAAGGAUACAGGGGUGGGUCUAUCAAAUUCCUGCUAUGCAUCUCUGAUACUGGUUAAGAAGCAAAGUGCCAUGGUUAUCAUCACUGUUUUGGAGGAUAUAGACUCUAUGCCUCUCCAUCCCUUGGGCUUCUUUGAGUGCCGAAGUGUUUCAUGCUGAAUGGUACUUGGUAAAUGGAGCACGGUGCUGGAGGGAACAGAGGCGGCUGGACGAGGCAGCGGCCCGAUGGGUUUGGGCUGGUGCAGGGAAGGGGGGCUGCCGUGCGUGCGGGAAAAGGUGGUGUUGGUCAUCGCGGGAGCUCGGACAGCGAUGGCGGUCGGACAACAGAGUGGCCCCUUCUCAGUGGAGGAUCUUCUCUUCUCCGUCCUUGACUUCCUGGCGAUGCGGUUUGCCGGGUGAACAGAGGCGUCUAAACAAGGCAGCGGCGCGAUGGGGCUGGGCCGGUGCGGGGAAGCGAGGUUGCCAUGCGUGUGGGGAAAGGAGGUGCAGGUCAUUGCAGACUCAUCUCUUCCCGCCCACUUCAUCUCAACCAGGCAGCAUGACCAGCAGCGACGUGCCGCUGCCGCCGAAGCGGUUAGGGGUCCGAAGCUGCUCGCCGAGCCCUGUCACCGCAGGUGUUCUGCCAGAGCGCCGCAACUCCCUGCCUCGACAAGGAGGCGUAGCAUUGAUGGCGGGCGACGACCGGACCAG
Lolium perenne is the source of this 1537-nucleotide non-coding RNA. Lineage: Eukaryota; Viridiplantae; Streptophyta; Magnoliopsida; Poales; Poaceae. The record is from RefSeq and is a predicted model, not a curated record.